CCUACGGGUGGCAGCAGUGAGGAAUAUUGGUCAAUGGACGAGAGUCUGAACCAGCCAAGCAGCGUGAAGGAUGACUGCCCUAUGGGUUGUAAACUCUUUUUAUAUGGGAAUAAAAUGUUCCACGUGUGGGAUUUUGUAUGUACCAUAUGAAUAAGGAUCGGCUAAACCCGGGCCAGCAGCCGCGGUAAUACGGAGGAUCCGAGCGUUACCCGGAUCUAUUGGGUUUAAAGGGAGCGUAGGUGGAUUGUUAAGUCAGUUGUGAAAGUUUGCGGCUCAACCGUAAAAUUGCAGUUGAAACUGGCAGUCUUGAGUACAGGAGAGGUGAGCGGAAUUCGUGGUGUAGCGGUGAAAUGCGUAGAUAUCACGAGGAACUCCGAUUGCGAAGGCAGCUCACUGGACUGCAACUGACGCUGAGGCUCGAAAGUGUGGGUAUCAAACAGGAUUAGAUACCCUAGUAGUC
RNAcentral lists this ribosomal RNA (460 nucleotides) under uncultured bacterium. Its description in RNAcentral is "partial 16S ribosomal RNA". It matches the Rfam family "Bacterial small subunit ribosomal RNA", at positions 338 to 795 of the family's 1533-position model. The record is from RNAcentral.